UACACACCGCCCGUCGCUACUACCGAUUGAAUGGCUGAGUGAGGCCUUCGGACUGGCCCAGGGAGGUCGGCAACGACCACCCAGGGCCGGAAAGUUGGUCAAACUCCGUCAUUUAGAGGAAGUAAAAGUCGUAACAAGGUUUCCGUAGGUGAACCUGCGGAAGGAUCAUUAAAGAGUAAGGGUGCUCAGCGCCCGACCUCCAACCCUUUGUUGUUAAAACUACCUUGUUGCUUUGGCGGGACCGCUCGGUCUCGAGCCGCUGGGGAUUCGUCCCAGGCGAGCGCCCGCCAGAGUUAAACCAAACUCUUGUUAUUAAACCGGUCGUCUGAGUUAAAAUUUUGAAUAAAUCAAAACUUUCAACAACGGAUCUCUUGGUUCUCGCAUCGAUGAAGAACGCAGCGAAAUGCGAUAAGUAAUGUGAAUUGCAGAAUUCAGUGAAUCAUCGAAUCUUUGAACGCACAUUGCGCCCCUUGGUAUUCCGAGGGGCAUGCCUGUUCGAGCGUCAUUACACCACUCAAGCUAUGCUUGGUAUUGGGUGCCGUCCUUAGUUGGGCGCGCCUUAAAGACCUCGGCGAGGCCACUCCGGCUUUAGGCGUAGUAGAAUUUAUUCGAACGUCUGUCAGAGGAGAGGAACUCUGCCGAUUGAAACCUUUAUUUUUCUAGGUUGACCUCGGAUCAGGUAGGGAUACCCGCUGAACUUAAGCAUAUCAAUAAGCGGAGGA
RNAcentral lists this ribosomal RNA (722 nucleotides) under uncultured fungus. RNAcentral's name for it is "eukaryotic LSU rRNA". The stretch from base 1 to 171 matches the Rfam family "Eukaryotic small subunit ribosomal RNA", at positions 1663 to 1831 of the family's 1831-position model. The record is from RNAcentral. Lineage: Eukaryota; Fungi.